Mauremys mutica (yellowpond turtle) is the source of this 1540-nucleotide long non-coding RNA. RefSeq lists it as uncharacterized. NCBI's taxonomy places the organism in Eukaryota, Metazoa, Chordata, Testudines, Geoemydidae. The transcript is spliced from 8 exons. The record is from RefSeq and is a predicted model, not a curated record.
GAUGAGGGCAUUCAUAGAGCUCUGUGUAGUGACAGUUCUUGCUUGGCUUUAUUAGUUUGCAGAGGAAUUGUCCAGGAGCCCCAGCCGGAUGAGAGUGUCAGAAGUGGACCUGAGCAGCCUGGCCAUCCUUCUAAGGAAACAAGAAUAGUCCUCAGGUUUCUGCCGUCUGCAUAACUGGCUUACCAAUCAAAAAGACGUCGCGUGUCAAAGUCUACUGCCCUUAUAAUGGAAAGCGAGUGAGAGUGACGAGACUGUGAGCGUUAUUGGUGCCAGGCAGGAGCCGUCCAUCUGGAAGCAGAACAGCCGCUACUAUCACUGAGAAAAGAGUGGUGUGUCCUCUGCAGUAGAAGGUUGGAUCCAGGAGGAUGACUCCAGGUGGACAUGGGCAGGAGUGCUAGGUGUGCAUCCACACAGGUCAGGUCUUGGGAGCCAUGGAGAAGUUGAAGCAGAGAAAAAUCAUGAGGAGCAGUGGGUGCUGAAGUGGAGCGGUGACUCUGUUUACGGAGUUGGGCUCAGAGGAAGUGUCCAGGAGCCCCAGCCCGAGGAGAAGCUGGCAGAAGUGGACCUGAUCAGUCUGAACAUCCUUCUAAACAGACAUGAGCAGUCCUCAGCUUUCUGCCUCCCGCAUAACUACACUUCAUUACUUUAGCAGCACGGCUGAAGCUUAAGAUAAAUGCAGGGUAGAGGAUUAGCACAGACGGCUGCUUCCCUUUAGGUGUAAUGGGAAAUGAGUGAAGAAGAACCUACACAACACUGCAGAUUCCAAUGUUUGCAGAGUAAUCAUCCAGGAGGUGUCUCCAGAGGAGAAGCUGGCAGAGGUGGACCUGAACUGCCUGGACAUCCUUCUAAGGAGACAUGAAGGGUCCUCAGCUUUCUGCCUCUCAUGAGACCCAAACCUUCGUUAUAGGGUGGUCCUUAAGCCAGGGGCGUUCGAAUGGGGCAGAGAGAAAAGCGCCGUAAAGGAGAGACCUCCGUUCCCUCAGAAGUGGGCGGUCUCAUUGCCCAGCAAGUGCCAGCGGCCCAAGAGGAGCUAGAAAGAGGAGACCUGCACCCUUCUCACAGGGAUUGGUCAGUGGCAAAGAGCAUUUUAAAGGCUAGGUCCUAAGGAGCUCAAAGCCACAGAGACCUUGUGGUGAUCUGCGUGUAAUGUAAUAUCUCAUUGUAAGGUGACGGGGCCAGCAGGAGUUAAUUAACUCACAAACUGACCUUGACCCAUGGCCGAACUUUAAAGACUGGUUAGGAAGAUCUGUAAAGGAAUAGAGGUUUGAAAUGCAGCCUGCAUUGUUAGAGAUAGAAGGGUAAAUGUUAGCUCGGGUCUUGUCCAUUUCUGUAGCUGUGAUUCAAAGAUCAAAAAAGCACUAUUAACAUUUAGGAAGACACUGGAGUGAAAUAGCGUUAUUGUCUAUAUCGGGGUCAGCAACCUUUCACAAGCGGUGUGCCGAGUCUUCAUUUAUUCACUCUAAAAUGUAUUCCUGACACACGAAACCUUAAUGUUUUUCAGAAGGUCUCUUUAGUUAUAUCAUAUAUAGACACAGAAACU